CAACGAAGCGCAACCCUCGCCUUUAGUUGCCAGCAUUCAGUUGGGCACUCUAGAGGGACUGCCGGUGGUCAAACCGGAGGAAGGUGGGGAUGACGUCAAGUCCUCAUGGCCUUUAUGUCUAGGGCUACACACGUACUACAAUGGCCGGUACAAAGGGCAGCCACUCAGCGAUGAGGCGCUAAUCCCAUAAAGCCGGUCUCAGUCCGGAUCGCAGUCUGCAACUCGACUGCGUGAAGUUGGAAUCGCUAGUAAUCGUAGAUCAGCAUGCUACGGUGAAUACGUUCCCGGGCCUU
This 293-nucleotide ribosomal RNA is filed under the name uncultured Desulfovibrio sp. Its description in RNAcentral is "partial 16S ribosomal RNA". It matches the Rfam family "Bacterial small subunit ribosomal RNA", at positions 1090 to 1382 of the family's 1533-position model. The record is from RNAcentral. Lineage: Bacteria; Pseudomonadati; Thermodesulfobacteriota; Desulfovibrionia; Desulfovibrionales; Desulfovibrionaceae.